Molecule: ribosomal RNA, 292 nt
Filed under: uncultured bacterium
Lineage: Bacteria
Description: partial 16S ribosomal RNA
Rfam family: Bacterial small subunit ribosomal RNA
Source: RNAcentral
GUGUCAGCAGCCGCGGUAAUACGAGGGGUGCAAGCGUUAUUCGGAAUUACUGGGCGUAAAGGGUGCGUAGGCGGUUUGAUAAGUCCGUUGUUAAAUAUCUCGGCCUAACCGAGAGCAUGCAGUGGAUACUAUCAGACUUGAGAGUGGAAGAGAGAGGUGGAAUUCUCGGAGUAGCGGUAAAAUGCGUAGAUCUCGAGAGGAACACCGAUGGCGAAGGCAGCCUCUUGGUCCAUUUCUGACGCUGAGGCACGAAAGCGUGGGGAGCAAACAGGAUUAGAUACCCUGGUAGUCC